CCUACGGGCGACUGCAGUGAGGAAUAUUGGUCAAUGGGCGGAAGCCUGAACCAGCCAAGUAGCGUGCAGGAUGACGGCCCUCCGGGUUGUAAACUGCUUUUAUACGGGAAUAACGCCGCUUACGUGUAGGGCUUUGCAUGUACCGUAUGAAUAAGGACCGGCUAAUUCCGUGCCAGCCGCCGCGGUAAUACGGAAGGGCCGGGCGUUAUCCGGUUGUAUUGGGUUUAAAGGGAGCGUAGGCCGCCUGUCAAGCGUGCUGUGAAAUGUCCGGGCUCAACCCGGGCCUUGCAGCGCGAACUGGCGUGCUUGAGUCCGCGGAAAGCAGGCGGAAUCCGUCGUGUAGCGGUGAAAUGCUUAGAUAUGACGAAGAACCCCGAUUGCGAAGGCAGCUUGCUGCAGCGGAACUGACGCUGAUGCUCGAAAGCGCGGGUAUCGAACAGGAUUAGAUACCCGGGUAGUC
Molecule: ribosomal RNA, 460 nt
Filed under: uncultured bacterium
Lineage: Bacteria
Description: partial 16S ribosomal RNA
Rfam family: Bacterial small subunit ribosomal RNA
Source: RNAcentral